This 857-nucleotide ribosomal RNA is filed under the name Fuscoporia scruposa. Its description in RNAcentral is "partial large subunit ribosomal RNA". It matches the Rfam family "Eukaryotic large subunit ribosomal RNA", at positions 77 to 915 of the family's 3401-position model. Lineage: Eukaryota; Fungi; Basidiomycota; Agaricomycetes; Hymenochaetales; Hymenochaetaceae. The record is from RNAcentral.
CCCCUAGUAACUGCGAGUGAAGCGGGAAAAGCUCAAAUUUAAAAUCUGGUGGUUUUGCCAUCCGAGUUGUAAUCUGGAGAAGCGUUUUCUGUGCUGGACCGUGUACAAGUCUCUUGGAACAGAGCGUCAUAGAGGGUGAGAAUCCCGUCCAUGACACGGACACCCAGUGCUAUGUGAUACGUUUUCAAAGAGUCGAGUUGUUUGGGAAUGCAGCUCAAAAUGGGUGGUAAGCUCCAUCUAAAGCUAAAUAUUGGCGAGAGACCGAUAGCGAACAAGUACCGUGAGGGAAAGAUGAAAAGCACUUUGGAAAGAGAGUUAAACAGUACGUGAAAUUGUUGAAAGGGAAACGCUUGAAGUUAGUCGCGUCUUACUUGACUCAGCCUUGCUUCGGCUUGGUGUAUUUCAUGUGAGACGGGUCAACAUCGAUUUUGACCGGCAGACAAGGGGAGUAAGAAUGUGGCACUCUUCGGAGUGUGUUAUAGCUUAUUCUCAUAUGUGUCGGUUGGGAUCGAGGACCGCAGCGCGCCCUUGUGGCCGGAGGUUCGCCUCACGUUACGCGCUUAGGAUGUUGGCAUAAUGGCUUUAAGCGACCCGUCUUGAAACACGGACCAAGGAGUCUAACAUGCUCGCGAGUGUUAGGGUGGAAAACCCUUGCGCAGAAUGAAAGUAAAAGUUGGGAACCUCCGCAAGGGGGCGCACCGACGCCCGGCCCAGAAGUUUACGGACGGUGCUGCGGUAGAGCGCGUAUGUUGGGACCCGAAAGAUGGUGAACUAUGCCUGAAUAGGGCGAAGCCAGGGGAAACCCUGUGUGGAGGCUCGUAGCGAUUCUGACGUGCAAAUCGAUCGUCAAAUUUGGG